This 401-nucleotide ribosomal RNA is filed under the name uncultured bacterium. Its description in RNAcentral is "bacterial SSU rRNA". It matches the Rfam family "Bacterial small subunit ribosomal RNA", at positions 356 to 773 of the family's 1533-position model. The record is from RNAcentral.
AGGGAAUAUUGGACAAUGGGCGAAAGCCUGAUCCAGCAAUGCCGCGUGAGUGAUGAAGGUGUAAUGCAUUGUAAAACUCUUUUAUCGGGGAAGAUAAUGACCGUACCCGAAGAAUAAGCACCGACUAACUAUGUGCCAGCAGUCGCGGUAAUACAUAGGGUGCAAGCGUUGCUCGGAAUUACUGGGCGUAAAGAACAUGUAGGAGGAUUUUCAAGUCGUUAGUGCAAUCCCAAGGCUCGACCUUGGAACUGCUAACGAUACUGAAAAUCUAGAGUAAGAUAGAGGGUGGUAGAAUUCUUAGUGUAGGGGUUAAAUCCAUAGAUAUUAAGAGGAAUACCGAAAGCGAAAGCAGCCACCUGGGUCUUUACUGACUCUAAAGUGUGAAAGCGUGGGGAUCAAAC